This 709-nucleotide small RNA is filed under the name Histoplasma capsulatum. RNAcentral describes it as "hypothetical RNA". Lineage: Eukaryota; Fungi; Ascomycota; Eurotiomycetes; Onygenales; Ajellomycetaceae. The record is from RNAcentral. RNAcentral also lists the same sequence under 1 other name.
CAAAACGAUGCGCGGUCACACAGAUGUCUCGGAGGUUUACGGCACUGCUCCCUCGUGUUUUGGGUCCAAAACCCAGCUUCUCGUUUGUGUUUCCUCACGAAGUAGGACAGAGUUUCUAUCUAUAUAGCUUUUCAAGUGGUAUUUUCAUCUUGUCAAUAGCUCGAGCUUUUCGAUUGUGACAGGUGAAGAUCGUUAGACAUGCCACGUCUUCCUAUCAUUCUUCUAUCACUUGUUGAAGGACAUUUGUGACAAAUUAAAAUGCCGACCGAAAGGGAAAGCUCAAGAUCUAUAUACCUUGCAGAAUUGGUUGACCUGAGAGUUGUUGAACACUUUUGACUUUUAUCCAUCAAGAGAGAGAUCAACUCAAUGGGAAACUACGAAAUUAUUUCCGGCACAAACAUAUAUCAACAAUUUCUUCCGAUAUCUUGUCAAGUCUUUCCGGCUUCUGCUAACGUUGCCAUUCAUCAAAGACCAGUGAUUAUUAUCACAUGCCAAUAUUUUAGAGAAAGCACUUUGCUUGCUGAAAUCCCUUUCAUAAUUUAGUGGAUAAAGUUUUAAAGCGUCAAAACAAAAAGAGCUUUUUCUUGAUAUUCUAGAAAAUCCUUCCUGCCCUAUCAACGCCCUGCCAAUAUCCAUGGACGAAUAAAAACACGCAUACAUAACCUUGCAUAUGAAGCGAGACGCAUUUCAAGCAAAAGGUGAACAUAAC